Molecule: ribosomal RNA, 170 nt
Filed under: uncultured Mycoplasma sp.
Lineage: Bacteria; Bacillati; Mycoplasmatota; Mollicutes; Mycoplasmatales; Mycoplasmataceae
Description: partial 16S ribosomal RNA
Rfam family: Bacterial small subunit ribosomal RNA
Source: RNAcentral
UUACGAAAGUCUGAUGGAGCAAUACCUCGUGAGCGACGAAGGUCUUUUGAUUGUAAAGUUCUUUUAUUUAGGAAAAAAAGCGCGCUAGGAAAUGAGCGCGCCUUGAUGGUACUAAUUGAAUAAGUGACAGCUAACUAUGUGCCCAGCUAGCUGCGUAAAACAAUUGCCCC